This 118-nucleotide ribosomal RNA is filed under the name Carassius auratus (goldfish). Lineage: Eukaryota; Metazoa; Chordata; Actinopteri; Cypriniformes; Cyprinidae. The record is from RNAcentral.
GCUUAUGGCCAUACCAGCCUGGCUAUGCCCGAUCUUGUCUGAUCUCGGAAGCUAAGCAGGUUUGGCCUGGUUAGUGCCUGGAUGGGAGACCGCCUGGGAAUACCAGGUACUGUAAGCU